GACGAACGCUGGCGGCGUGCCUAAUACAUGCAAGUCGAGCGAGUCUGCCUUGAAGAUCGGAGUGCUUGCACUCUGUGAAACAAGAUACAGGCUAGCGGCGGACGGGUGAGUAACACGUGGGUAACCUGCCCAAGAGAUCGGGAUAACACCUGGAAACAGAUGCUAAUACCGGAUAACAACAGAUGAUGCCUAUCAACUGUUUAAAAGAUGGUUCUGCUAUCACUCUUGGAUGGACCUGCGGUGCAUUAGCUAGUUGGUAGGGUAACGGCCUACCAAGGCGAUGAUGCAUAGCCGAGUUGAGAGACUGAUCGGCCACAUUGGGACUGAGACACGGCCCAAACUCCUACGGGAGGCAGCAGUAGGGAAUCUUCCACAAUGGACGCAAGUCUGAUGGAGCAACGCCGCGUGAGUGAAGAAGGGUUUCAGCUCGUAAAGCUCUGUUGUUGGUGAAGAAGGACAGGGGUAGUAACUGACCUUUGUUUGACGGUAAUCAAUUAGAAAGUCACGGCUAACUACGUG
RNAcentral lists this ribosomal RNA (519 nucleotides) under uncultured bacterium. RNAcentral's name for it is "partial 16S ribosomal RNA". It matches the Rfam family "Bacterial small subunit ribosomal RNA", at positions 28 to 507 of the family's 1533-position model. The record is from RNAcentral.